RNAcentral lists this ribosomal RNA (1359 nucleotides) under Pediococcus sp. S17. Its description in RNAcentral is "16S ribosomal RNA". It matches the Rfam family "Bacterial small subunit ribosomal RNA", at positions 93 to 1440 of the family's 1533-position model. RNAcentral also lists the same sequence under 1 other name. The record is from RNAcentral. Lineage: Bacteria; Bacillati; Bacillota; Bacilli; Lactobacillales; Lactobacillaceae.
GAGUGGCGAACGGGUGAGUAACACGUGGGUAACCUGCCCAGAAGUAGGGGAUAACACCUGGAAACAGAUGCUAAUACCGUAUAACAGAGAAAACCGCAUGGUUUUCUUUUAAAAGAUGGCUCUGCUAUCACUUCUGGAUGGACCCGCGGCGUAUUAGCUAGUUGGUGAGGUAAAGGCUCACCAAGGCAGUGAUACGUAGCCGACCUGAGAGGGUAAUCGGCCACAUUGGGACUGAGACACGGCCCAGACUCCUACGGGAGGCAGCAGUAGGGAAUCUUCCACAAUGGACGCAAGUCUGAUGGAGCAACGCCGCGUGAGUGAAGAAGGGUUUCGGCUCGUAAAGCUCUGUUGUUAAAGAAGAACGUGGGUAAGAGUAACUGUUUACCCAGUGACGGUAUUUAACCAGAAAGCCACGGCUAACUACGUGCCAGCAGCCGCGGUAAUACGUAGGUGGCAAGCGUUAUCCGGAUUUAUUGGGCGUAAAGCGAGCGCAGGCGGUCUUUUAAGUCUAAUGUGAAAGCCUUCGGCUCAACCGAAGAAGUGCAUUGGAAACUGGGAGACUUGAGUGCAGAAGAGGACAGUGGAACUCCAUGUGUAGCGGUGAAAUGCGUAGAUAUAUGGAAGAACACCAGUGGCGAAGGCGGCUGUCUGGUCUGCAACUGACGCUGAGGCUCGAAAGCAUGGGUAGCGAACAGGAUUAGAUACCCUGGUAGUCCAUGCCGUAAACGAUGAUUACUAAGUGUUGGAGGGUUUCCGCCCUUCAGUGCUGCAGCUAACGCAUUAAGUAAUCCGCCUGGGGAGUACGACCGCAAGGUUGAAACUCAAAAGAAUUGACGGGGGCCCGCACAAGCGGUGGAGCAUGUGGUUUAAUUCGAAGCUACGCGAAGAACCUUACCAGGUCUUGACAUCUUCUGACAGUCUAAGAGAUUAGAGGUUCCCUUCGGGGACAGAAUGACAGGUGGUGCAUGGUUGUCGUCAGCUCGUGUCGUGAGAUGUUGGGUUAAGUCCCGCAACGAGCGCAACCCUUAUUACUAGUUGCCAGCAUUAAGUUGGGCACUCUAGUGAGACUGCCGGUGACAAACCGGAGGAAGGUGGGGACGACGUCAAAUCAUCAUGCCCCUUAUGACCUGGGCUACACACGUGCUACAAUGGAUGGUACAACGAGUCGCGAGACCGCGAGGUUAAGCUAAUCUCUUAAAACCAUUCUCAGUUCGGACUGUAGGCUGCAACUCGCCUACACGAAGUCGGAAUCGCUAGUAAUCGCGGAUCAGCAUGCCGCGGUGAAUACGUUCCCGGGCCUUGUACACACCGCCCGUCACACCAUGAGAGUUUGUAACACCCAAAGCCGGUGGGGUAACC